RNAcentral lists this ribosomal RNA (603 nucleotides) under Corallococcus sp. AB049A. RNAcentral's name for it is "bacterial LSU rRNA". It matches the Rfam family "Bacterial large subunit ribosomal RNA", at positions 1104 to 1711 of the family's 2925-position model. The record is from RNAcentral. Lineage: Bacteria; Pseudomonadati; Myxococcota; Myxococcia; Myxococcales; Myxococcaceae.
GCUUAGAAGCAGCCACCCUUUAAAGAAAGCGUAAUAGCUCACUGGUCGAGUCGGUCUGCGGGGAAGAUUUAACGGGGCUAAGCACAGAACCGAAGCUUGGGGUGCAUAACUUUGUUAUGCGCGGUAGAGGAGCGUUCCGUAAGCCGUUGAAGGUGGAUUGAGAAGUCUGCUGGAGGUAUCGGAAGUGCGAAUGCUGACAUGAGUAACGAUAAUGCGGGUGAAAAACCCGCACGCCGAAAGCCCAAGGUUUCCUUGCGCAACGUUAAUCGGCGCAGGGUGAGUCGGCCCCUAAGGCGAGGACGAAAGUCGUAGUCGAUGGGAAGCAGGUUAAUAUUCCUGCACCUCGCGUAAGUGCGAUGGAGGGACGGAGAAGGUUAGGUGUACCAGGCGUUGGUUGUCCUGGGGAAAGGCGGUAGGUUUGGAUCUUUGGCAAAUCCGGGAUCCUCUAAGACCGAGCACCGAGACGAGCCUUUAUGGCGAAGUCACUGAUACCACGCUUCCAGGAAAAGCUCCUAAGCUUCAGCUUACGCAGACCGUACCGUAAACCGACACAGGUGGGUAGGAUGAGAAUUCUCAGGCGCUUGAGAGAACUCGGGUGAAGGA